UACAGAGGUGGCAAGCGUUGUUCGGAAUUACUGGGCGUAAGGGGCGCGUAGGCGGCCAACUAAGUCAUACGUGAAAUCCCUCGGCUUAACCGGGGAACUGCGUCUGAUACUGGAUAGCUAGAGUUCGGCAGAGGGAAGUGGAAUUUCUGGUGUAGCGGUGAAAUGCGUAGAUAUCAGAAGGAACAUCAGUGGCGAAAGCGACUUCCUGGACCAGAACUGACGAUCAGGCACGAAAGCGUGGGGAGCAAACAGG
RNAcentral lists this ribosomal RNA (253 nucleotides) under uncultured bacterium. Its description in RNAcentral is "partial 16S ribosomal RNA". It matches the Rfam family "Bacterial small subunit ribosomal RNA", at positions 524 to 776 of the family's 1533-position model. The record is from RNAcentral.